UACGUAGGGUGCGAGCGUUGUCCGGAAUUAUUGGGCGUAAAGAGCUCGUAGGCGGUUUCGUAAGUCGGAUGUGAAAACUCAGGGCUCAACCCGGAGACGCCAUCUGAUACUGCGAUGACUUGAGUCUGGUAGGGGAACACGGAAUUCCUGGUGUAGCGGUGAAAUGCGCAGAUAUCAGGAGGAACACCGAUGGCGAAGGCAGUGUUCUGGGCCAGUACUGACGCUGAGGAGCGAAAGCGUGGGGAGCAAACAGG
This 254-nucleotide ribosomal RNA is filed under the name uncultured bacterium. RNAcentral describes it as "partial 16S ribosomal RNA". It matches the Rfam family "Bacterial small subunit ribosomal RNA", at positions 524 to 776 of the family's 1533-position model. The record is from RNAcentral.